RNAcentral lists this ribosomal RNA (539 nucleotides) under Cortinarius traganus. RNAcentral describes it as "eukaryotic LSU rRNA". The stretch from base 184 to 337 matches the Rfam family "5.8S ribosomal RNA". The record is from RNAcentral. Lineage: Eukaryota; Fungi; Basidiomycota; Agaricomycetes; Agaricales; Cortinariaceae.
GACCUGCGGAGGAUCAUUAUUGAAAUAAACCUGAUGGGUUGUUGCUGGCUCUCUAGGGAGCAUGUGCACACCUUGUCAUCUUUAUAUCUCCACCUGUGCACCUUUUGUAGACCUUUCAGGUCUAUGUUGCUUCAUUUACCCCCAAUGUAUGUCAAUAGAAUGUUGUGCCUAUAAAAUCUAUACAACUUUCAGCAACGGAUCUCUUGGCUCUCGCAUCGAUGAAGAACGCAGCGAAAUGCGAUAAGUAAUGUGAAUUGCAGAAUUCAGUGAAUCAUCGAAUCUUUGAACGCACCUUGCGCUCCUUGGUAUUCCGAGGAGCAUGCCUGUUUGAGUGUCAUUAAUAUAUAUAUCAACCUUCUCUUGUUUGAGUGGUUUGGAUGUGGGGGUUUGCUGGCUUCUUAAAAGGGUUCAGCUCCUCUGAAAUGCAUUAGCAGAACAACCUGUUCAUUGGCGUGAUAACUAUCUAUGCUAUUGAAUAUCAGGGGGCAGUUCAGCUUUCUAACAGUCCUUGGACAAUUUAUCAUUUAUGGCCUCAAAUC